UGGUUCUGGCAUCGAUGAAGAACGCAGCGAAAUGCGAUAAGUAAUGUGAAUUGCAGAAUUCAGUGAAUCAUCGAAUCUUUGAACGCAUAUUGCGCCCUUUGGUAUUCCGAAGGGCAUGCCUGUCCGAGCGUCAUCGCACCUCUCAUACCCCCCCGGGUGUGAUGUUGGGCGACGCCCGCUUGCGGCCAGCCUUAAACUUAACGACGGUCACCAGCCAACCUCAGGCGUACAAGCAUCGCGAUGAUGGAAAGCUGGGGCCCGUCCCACGUUUUUUAAUGAUUGUUGACCUCGGAUCAGGUAGGGAUACCCGCUGA
RNAcentral lists this unclassified non-coding RNA (314 nucleotides) under uncultured fungus. RNAcentral describes it as "partial contains 5.8S ribosomal RNA and internal transcribed spacer 2". The stretch from base 1 to 133 matches the Rfam family "5.8S ribosomal RNA", at positions 22 to 154 of the family's 154-position model. Lineage: Eukaryota; Fungi. The record is from RNAcentral.